This 78-nucleotide transfer RNA is filed under the name Promethearchaeota archaeon. RNAcentral's name for it is "Candidatus Lokiarchaeota archaeon tRNA-Val". It matches the Rfam family "tRNA". From Rfam's summary of the family: Transfer RNA (tRNA) molecules are approximately 80 nucleotides in length. The record is from RNAcentral. Lineage: Archaea; Promethearchaeati; Promethearchaeota.
GAGCCCGUGGUCUAGUUUGGUUUUGACGUCGCGCUCACACCGCGAAGAGCGAGAGUUCAAAUCUCUCCGGGCUCACCA